UGCUUAACAUGCAAGUCGAACGGUGAAAGCGGAGCUUGCUCCGCCGGAUCAGUGGCGAACGGGUGAGUAACACGUGAGCAAUCUGCCCCAGACUCUGGGAUAAGCGCUGGAAACGGCGUCUAAUACCGGAUACGAGCUACGAAGGCAUCUUCAGUAGCUGGAAAGAAUUUCGGUCUGGGAUGAGCUCGCGGCCUAUCAGCUUGUUGGUGAGGUAACGGCUCACCAAGGCGUCGACGGGUAGCCGGCCUGAGAGGGUGACCGGCCACACUGGGACUGAGACACGGCCCAGACUCCUACGGGAGGCAGCAGUGGGGAAUAUUGCACAAUGGGCGCAAACCUGAAGCAGCAACGCCGCGUGAAGGGACGACGGCCUUCGGGUUGUAAACCUCUUUUAGCAGGGAAGAAGCCUUCGGGUGACGGUACCUGCAGAAAAAGCACCGGCUAACUACGUGCCAGCAGCCGCGGUAAUACGUAGGGUGCAAGCGUUAUCCGGAAUUAUUGGGCGUAAAGAGCUCGUAGGCGGUCUGUCGCGUCUGCUGUGAAAACCCGAGGCUCAACCUCGGGCCUGCAGUGGGUACGGGCAGACUAAAGUGCGGUAGGGGAGAUUGGAAUUCCUGGUGUACCGGUGGAAUGCGCAGAUAUCAGGAGGAACACCGAUGGCGAAGGCAGAUCUCUGGGCCGUAACUGACGCUGAGGAGCGAAAGGGUGGGGAGCAAACAGGCUUAGAUACCCUGGUAGUCCACCCCGUAAACGUUGGGAACUAGUUGUGGGGUCCAUUCCACGGAUUCCGUGACGCAGCUAACGCAUUAAGUUCCCCGCCUGGGGAGUACGGCCGCAAGGCUAAAACUCAAAGGAAUUGACGGGGACCCGCACAAGCGGCGGAGCAUGCGGAUUAAUUCGAUGCAACGCGAAGAACCUUACCAAGGCUUGACAUAUACGAGAACGGGCCAGAAAUGGUCAACUCUUUGGACACUCGUAAACAGGUGGUGCAUGGUUGUCGUCAGCUCGUGUCGUGAGAUGUUGGGUUAAGUCCCGCAACGAGCGCAACCCUCGUUCUAUGUUGCCAGCACGUAAUGGUGGGAACUCAUGGGAUACUGCCGGGGUCAACUCGGAGGAAGGUGGGGAUGACGUCAAAUCAUCAUGCCCCUUAUGUCUUGGGCUUCACGCAUGCUACAAUGGCCGGUACAAAGGGCUGCAAUACCGCGAGGUGGAGCGAAUCCCAAAAAGCCGGUCCCAGUUCGGAUUGAGGUCUGCAACUCGACCUCAUGAAGUCGGAGUCGCUAGUAAUCGCAGAUCAGCAACGCUGCGGUGAAUACGUUCCCGGGUCUUGUACACACCGCCCGUCAAGUCAUGAAAGUCGGUAACACCUGAAGCCGGUGGCCCAACCUUUGGAGGAGCCGUCGAA
Molecule: ribosomal RNA, 1405 nt
Filed under: Microbacterium koreense
Lineage: Bacteria; Bacillati; Actinomycetota; Actinomycetes; Micrococcales; Microbacteriaceae
Description: bacterial SSU rRNA
Rfam family: Bacterial small subunit ribosomal RNA
Source: RNAcentral